Molecule: non-coding RNA, 22 nt
Filed under: Arabidopsis thaliana (thale cress)
Lineage: Eukaryota; Viridiplantae; Streptophyta; Magnoliopsida; Brassicales; Brassicaceae
Source: RNAcentral
CUGGGUUUUGUGUUUACCUCGG